UACGGAGGAUGCAAGCGUUAUCCGGAAUGAUUGGGCGUAAAGCGUCCGCAGGUGGUUGUGUGUGUCUAUUGUCAAAGCAUCGUGCUUAACAUGAUAAAGGCAGUAGAAACUACACGACUAGAGUGCGUUCGGGGCAGAGGGAAUUCCUGGUGUAGCGGUGAAAUGCGUAGAGAUCAGGAAGAACACCGGUGGCGAAAGCGCUCUGCGAGGCCGCAACUGACAAUGAGGGGCGAAAGCUAGGGGAGCGAAUGGG
Molecule: ribosomal RNA, 253 nt
Filed under: uncultured bacterium
Lineage: Bacteria
Description: partial 16S ribosomal RNA
Rfam family: Bacterial small subunit ribosomal RNA
Source: RNAcentral